CUUCUUCCUAACAUCACCUUUUCAAUUCAAAGUAUUUUUGGAAAGUGUUGCCAAGAAGUUUGAUCUACCCACCCUGGAUAUUAAAGUCUAUGAUGAAACCAGGACCGAAAUCGAUGAUGAGGCAUUCAAAUACAUUCUAAAACAACAGGAUAUUGGGGUUUUAGAAAUUGUGAUCCCAACAGCAAGCGUUGAUGGUAAAAUAACUUUACGUUUUAACUUCUAGAUAUGAGUUUUUUAAUCAUCUCCGCAAUGACAUAUCGUUCACAUUUAACCUUUUCUGAGUUGUGCAGCUCAUGCUGUAAACAUUUUGUGUCCCAUGAAACAUUAUUUUGUAGAUUCCUUCAGUUCUAGUUUGAUUGGCGAUGGUGAGCCUUCAUCAGGAUCUGAUGACACAGCAAUAGUGAUCAGAAAUCCCUCAGAAAAAGAGAUGCAGAGGAUCGUCGUCUGGGUCGAGUAAGAUCAAUAGAUUGUUUAUGUCCUUUUUGUAACUUUGUUGCAACCAUAUAUAUGCUCUUGUUAAUCUGUGUACUCUGUGUGUUCUCUGUGUACUGUCAAUCACCUCUCCCAAGAUGAUUGAGGACAUCCUCAAGAGUAGCCCUGGAGGUGAUAAGAUCACACAUGAGUAUGCUCGCACAAAAACAUUGUCAGAUGUCAGAAGACGUGACCUAGUGAAAAUACUAGUUGCACAUCUGACAAAUGAGCAUGGCACAAGCCCCCCUAGGAGAUUGAAGGAGGAAUACGCCAAAGGAAUCAUCUGCCUUUUUCCUUACUUGGCUGACCCCCUGAGCAAGCUUGGCUAUGAACAUUUUUAUAAUGCUGAAGAUGGAAGUGGGUAUUUGGCUUGGAGAAUCAAAACUCUGCAGAAAGAGGUGUCCGAGGGGCGAAUGAAACGGUCACGACAACU
Long non-coding RNA from Gadus chalcogrammus (walleye pollock), 904 nucleotides. RefSeq lists it as uncharacterized. NCBI's taxonomy places the organism in Eukaryota, Metazoa, Chordata, Actinopteri, Gadiformes, Gadidae. The record is from RefSeq and is a predicted model, not a curated record. The transcript is spliced from 4 exons.